CGGCCAGGUAGUCACCUCCGCCAGUUUACCGAACACUCCGGUUCGGAAAUGCCGAUCAGAGGGAACUUCUCACUCAUCAUCUGGUGAAUCGUCUGCCACAAAGCUUCCACCGCUUAAAACAGUGCUUGGUGCUAAGCCCAGAUGAAGCAAGAAGGCUCGGUUGAAUAAACCGGCUAAUGAAGACGUGGCUGUUAAUCCGGAGAAAACUCCCGAUCCUGAAGAGGCCAACAUUGAUGACAUGCUAAAUGACCCGCCGCCUCAAGAUCAUGACUUUGUUCUAGAGCAGGCAGAGGUUGACACCACCGGGCACACCGACCAGCCAACAAGCCCUAUCUGGACUGACAAACCGGUCAGUCCGGUGAAAUAUACUGACAAAACAAAAACUCCAGUACGAGCUGCUGAGGAGAAGGAUGAUGAUGUUCUGAUUACUGGCAUUGGCCAUACUGAUCCAGGAAAUCAUGUCGCUUUGUCAAAACAUACCGCCAAAGAGGAAUUUUCUGCAAUUGGUACAGGCAAAUGGAAUGCCGAUCUGUCCGCUUACGCCCAUCUGAGUGCUCAAGACCUUCAUUCCAGCUAUCUGAACCGUCUAUACACCAGUCGUGACUAUGAAGCCGGCUUGGUAAAUAUGAUGAAGGAACGAUAUGAGAUAAUUUCAUAAAGUGCUUUUCCCUUAUAUUGAAUUGUAGUUUAUCAACUCCAGUAGCCCCCAAGUGACGGUUUAAGAUAUCAAUCUAAACCGGGACUUAGUAAAAACUUUUAUGCUUUGCAAUAAUGCAUCUGAACUUCACUGAAGUAGCCCCCAAGUGCCGAUUUAACUUUAUAAAGAUGAACCGGGACUUUGUAGAAGAAAUUCCCGUAUCAGCACUCUUUGAGCAAAUACCCAUUAGCCCCCAAGUGCCAAGUUGAAUACUUGUAUUAUGCUUGGGACUUUGUAGAAAAAGUAUGAUGAAGAGCAAAUAUGCAUUAGCCCCCAAGUAUCAAGGGCAUAACUUGUUAUGUGCUUGGUACUUCAAAUAUGUACUGUCAUCUCAUCAUAGAACUGUCUCUUUGUAGGCUGAGCUGAGCAAGAAAAAGAGCCAAACCGCUGAUCUACAGGAAAACCUUAAAUCGCAACAAGCUGAAACCUCCAAGGCGAAGGAAGAAUCGACCAACACUCUAGGCGCUAUGGAGAAACUGAAAGAAGGUUUCAACAAGGAGCGGACGGAUUGGGAGAAUGAAAAAGCCGAUUUGAUC
Molecule: long non-coding RNA, 1233 nt
Organism: Triticum aestivum (bread wheat)
Lineage: Eukaryota; Viridiplantae; Streptophyta; Magnoliopsida; Poales; Poaceae
Exons: 3
Source: RefSeq, a predicted model, not a curated record